ACUUUCCCCGAGGAAGGGCUCAGCUACCACCAAGCCUGACAGCAUCACUCAGCCCCCUGUGAUUGGGGAGCUGAGGAAGGACUCGCGCUUACAAGGCAGCCACAGGUGCACUGGAUUUUGCCAGUGACUGUGCGCUGGGCCAUCCCCACCCUCUGGCUAGGAGCCGGGAGUUUGCAGUAGGCACCCUCGCCCAAAAUAUCUCUGUAACCACUGGUUCUCUUCACGUUGACAAGUUCUGUAAAGUAUUUCUGUGCAGAUGGCAGGAAAUCUAAAUUUAAAUUUCCACUUAAUUUUUUUAUUCCAGCAGGAGUAGUGUUUAUUUUGUAGAGAAUCAACAACCUUAAGAUAUCAUUUUUUUUUUAAGAUUUUUUUUUUUAUUCAUGCAAGAGAGAGAUUGAGAUGAGCAUAAGCACGAGUAAGGAGAGGGGCAGAGGGAGAGGGAGAAGCAGAUUCCCUGCUGAGCAGGGGGCCUGAUGCCAGGCUCCAUCCGCGACCUGGAGACCAUGACCUGAGCUAAAGGCACACACUUAGCUGACUAAGCCACCCAGGUGUCCCUAAUGGUGUCCCCAUUUCUUGUUGCACACCCAGAUUUCUCCUCAUCAAGGGUUGAUCAGUCUUACACCAAAAAAACUUAAAUGAAAGGUGUAAAUGUCAGUUUCUGGGCAGCCCGGGUGGCUCAGCGAUUUAGCGCCACCUUCGGCCCGGGGUGUGAUCCUGGGGACCUGGGAUCCAGUCCCACAUCGGGCUCCCUGCAUGUAGCCUGCUUCUCCCUCUGCCUGUGUCUCUGUCUCUCUCUCUCUCUCUUUGUGUCUAUCAUGAAUAAAUAAAUAAAAUCUUUAAAAAAUAAAAAAAUAAAUAAAUGUCAGUUUCCUGGGUUUUAGUAUUGUGCUGUAGUUAAGCAAAAGCUCCCUUCUCAGAGAAAUAGGGUGAAGAGUACACAGGACCUCCCUGUACUGCUUUUCGCAGCUUCUUGGGACUGUAUAUUUAUUUCAAAAUAAAAAGGGUUAAAGUGAUACUUUUUGAUACAAUUUAUUUUAAUAUGUUACUGAUAUGUAAAAUAUAUUUUACCACAAUUCUUGAGCCCACUAAAAAUAAAUUAAAUAAAUAAAUAAAUAAAAAUUUUUAAAGAAUGAUACAGACCAGCACUAUACUGCAGAAGUAUAAUACAACCUAUAAAUGUAAGCUAAAUGUGUAAUUUUAGAUUUUUUAGUGGCCACAUUCACAAGAUUGAAAAGAACAUGGCAAAAUUAACUUAAUAAUGUAUUUUCUUUAACUUGGUGUGUCUAGAAUAUUGUCAUUUCAACAUGCAGUACCAAAAAAUGUUAAUAAGAUGUUUUAUGUUCCUUUUUCCUUCUAAGUCUUUGAAACCCAGUGUGUAUUUUAUACGUCCAGAACAUCUCAAUUUGGAAGAGCCGUAUUUCAGAUGCUAAAUAGCCAUGUGGCUAAUAGGACAGCGCAGUAUUGAGGCUAUAAACACAAAAUCUUUAAUGUCUUUUUCAACAUCUUUUAACAUCAUUUUUAAAGAUCUUAUUUAUUUUUUAGAGAGAGAGAGAGCACAAGUAGGCAGAGCGGCAGGCAGAAAGAGAGGGAGAAGCAGGCUCCCCACUCCCACUGAGCAGCGAGCCCCAAUGCAGGGCUCGAUCCCAGGACCCCGGGACUCAUGACCUGAGCCGAAGGCAGAUGCUUAACCACCUGAGCCACUCAGACGCCCCGUGCUUUAAUUUUAUAUGCAUUUUCCCUGGCUAUAUCUGCCUGUUGUUUACAUUCUUCAAAUAACUGGGCACUGAUAGCAGCAACACUACUGAUCUCCUUGUGGUCUCAGAGGAUUUGUCUCCAUUCACCUGGACACUGUGAUGAGUUAGUGCUGGUGGCCGGGCUGUGUCGAGGUCACUGCCAAAUGGUUAAGGAGGGAAACAGCUUUUAUCGGGACAGCCGGUGGGGCUCAGCAGCUGAGCGUCUGCCUUCGGCCCAGGGCAUGACCCCGGGUCCUGGGAUCGAGUUCCGCAUUGGGCUCCCUGCGUGGAGCCUGCUUCUCCCUCUGCCUGGGUCUCUGCUUCUCUCUCUCUGUGUCUCAUGAAUAAAUAAAAAAAAAAAAAAAAAAAAAA
This 2105-nucleotide long non-coding RNA is filed under the name Canis lupus familiaris (dog). Its description in RNAcentral is "lncRNA (ENSCAFG00845019105.1)". The record is from RNAcentral. Lineage: Eukaryota; Metazoa; Chordata; Mammalia; Carnivora; Canidae.